AGAGUUAAAGCGACCUAAGAAAUGAUCAAAUCUAAUCCAUUCAUUUUCCAGAUGUGGAUAUUGAACCCUGGGAAGUGAGUUCUUCCUGAGUGGUCUGCAUGGAGUCCAAAAUUGCGUUUUUACUUGUUUUCUCCUCCAGCAUACGGAAAAUGAAAUGAUCACUGAGGCAAGGCUAAAGGAAUGGCAGAGAUUGGAAUUGAAGAAGAUUAAACCAGGGAGCUGAUAAAACUGACCAAAGAGGAAGAAAAUAUGGCUCUGGAAAAUUAAGUGAUUUGCCUACAUCCACAUAGCUAGUAAGUAUCUAAGGUAACCUUUGAAUCCAAGACCAUUGACUUAAAGU
Molecule: long non-coding RNA, 340 nt
Filed under: Monodelphis domestica (gray short-tailed opossum)
Lineage: Eukaryota; Metazoa; Chordata; Mammalia; Didelphimorphia; Didelphidae
Description: lncRNA (ENSMODG00000030746.2)
Source: RNAcentral